CGCGCUCACCUACAUAGGACUGCUUUUCGGUGGUUUAGGAAAGUGCACUCGCACAAACGGUAACGCAAUCUAAUUCAACACCCUCUUCCUCCGCCAGCAUACUCCGCGCCUCCUGCACCCUUCCUCCCUCCAUCUCCGGCUCUGCCCCCCUCCCCCCUUUCCCCCCUCACGAAGGAGGCUCUUCACCAGCAGCAAAAAAAAAGAAAGUAAACUGAAGGCCCGAGAAGGGCAUCACUGUCACCGCUGCCACUCCACUGUCGAAGCCUUCACCACCGCUUCUGCCUCCUCCUUUACGUAGCCGCUUGACUAACCGCCACCACGGCUACUAUUCCGCACUCCCUUCCUCCUCCUUCUUUGUUGUUUGUUUAAACGCCCUUUUGUUGUCUUCCGAACGGACGCACGGGCUCGCUCGAGGAAGCCGCACUCCCCUUCCCCCUUCCUCCACACACACACACACACACACGCUGCUGCCGAAGGGUCCAGAACGGCUUGGACACUGGGAGGCCGAAAAGGCGCCUGCCCGCUGUAUUGGAGCUUCACCUUUCCCUGCGAGUGGGCGAGACACACACGCGAAGAAGCACACACCGUCGCGCAUCCCUCCACCCGGGCCAGAGGUGUACCGCCCGUACGCGGCGCACGUGCUGGUGGGGACCAAAGUUUGCAGAGAGAAGAGGCGGGAGGACACGGCCGACACGUGCUGGAAGCGAAGGGCCCGCUCCGAUAGGAAAACGAACAGAGCGAGAAACACACGGCACAGAAAGGCAAAGGGAGGGCUGCCAGAGAGUGAGUGAGUGAGUGAGUGAGUGAGUGAGUGAGCGAGCGAGCGCGCAUCGCUGCACCGGGAGGCGUGCGCAUCAGCUGUUUGUGUGCUUUUCCCCUCCCCUUUGCUGAGGUGUCCCCUGUCCAGUCCACUGUUCAUCAUCGCUACCGCCACCCCCCUCUCCUCCAGCUCCAGUGAAUCCAACACUCUUCCGUUGGCGUGUUCUUCGUCCUUCUCGCCGUUCUUCCUCCUCGCUGCACUGUCCCGUGCCGCUUUCUGAGAUUCGCCCUGCGCUCUUCACGCCGCGUCUCUCCCGGAAACGAAAACACAAAGAGAGCACGAGGUGCGCGGCGCGGUGACCUCUCCCAGAACGGCAACUUCACGAGAAGAUCCGCGGUGGUGGGUGGGGGCGCGUGUUGUAAGUGUGCGUCUCGGUACCCGUUCUUCGCUAGCUGGUUGUGCGCUGCUCGGCACGUAUCGAAGGUAUACGUUUUGUUUUGUCCGUUUUAGUUCUAUCUCUCGUGUGCGGCACCGUCACCCCCCUCCCCUCCUUGUGGAGAGAAAGAACGAGAGGCAACACGCGUGUGGCCUCCUGUAGGGGUGGCUUUCUCGUCCUCUCCUCUUCCUUCUUUGUGGUCGACUGCCACCCUCUCUCGAUUUUCUGCAGAGGGUGCCGGUGGCGGUGUGAGGGGUUUCGAGUUGGGCUUGCUGUUACUUGUUAUGCGCCUCACUUUCGGUCUCGCGCUCUCUUCGACGCAUCGCUUGCUACCUGAAAACAGAAAAGUCGGAGAAGGAACAGAACGACAAAGAAAAUCUAAACCCCCCAAAGGAGCAAGGGAACGGCGAGUCCUUCGGUUGCUCACCUUAAUCGAGCCACGAGGACCUACCCCCCCCCCCCCCCCCCCCUCACCCUCCACCAGCGUAACGCAUAAACGCCGUCGAUAGUCGGGACGCGCUGCAUUCUCCCCUUACCCCGCCCCCACUCCUUCCCGCGCCCGCUUGUGUCGAAGUGCACACACUCCUGAUAUUG
RNAcentral lists this unclassified non-coding RNA (1790 nucleotides) under Leishmania donovani. RNAcentral's name for it is "gene:unknown". Lineage: Eukaryota; Euglenozoa; Kinetoplastea; Trypanosomatida; Trypanosomatidae. The record is from RNAcentral.